RNAcentral lists this ribosomal RNA (254 nucleotides) under uncultured bacterium. RNAcentral's name for it is "partial 16S ribosomal RNA". It matches the Rfam family "Bacterial small subunit ribosomal RNA", at positions 524 to 776 of the family's 1533-position model. The record is from RNAcentral.
UACAGAGGGGGCAAGCGUUGUUCGGAAUUACUGGGCGUAAAGGGUGCGUAGGCGGCCUUCUAAGUCGAACGUGAAAUCCCCGGGCUCAACCCGGGAACUGCGUCCGAUACUGGAUGGCUUGAGUUUGGGAGAGGGAUGCGGAAUUCCAGGUGUAGCGGUGAAAUGCGUAGAUAUCUGGAGGAACACCGGUGGCGAAGGCGGCAUCCUGGACCAACACUGACGCUGAGUGAGCGAAAGCCAGGGGAGCAAACGGG